GACGAACGCUGGCGGCGUGCUUAACACAUGCAAGUCGAACGGGGGCUUCCGCUUUUCGGAGUGGGGGUUCUAGUGGCGAACGGGUGAGUAACACGUGGGCAACCUGCCCCCGGCUUCGGGAUAACUCCAAGAAAUUGGGGCUAAUACCGGAUAGUCACUGCUUGCCGCAUGGUGGGUGGUGGAAAGGGUUUCUGGCGGGGGAUGGGCCCGCGGCCUAUCAGCUUGUUGGUGGGGUGAUGGCCUACCAAGGCGACGACGGGUAGCCGGCCUGAGGGGGUGACCGGCCACACCGGGACUGAGACACGGCCCAGACUCCUACGGGAGGCAGCAGUGGGGAAUAUUGCGCAAUGGGCGGAAGCCUGACGCAGCGACGCCGCGUGGGGGAUGAC
RNAcentral lists this ribosomal RNA (389 nucleotides) under uncultured Actinomycetales bacterium. RNAcentral describes it as "bacterial SSU rRNA". It matches the Rfam family "Bacterial small subunit ribosomal RNA", at positions 28 to 412 of the family's 1533-position model. The record is from RNAcentral. Lineage: Bacteria; Bacillati; Actinomycetota; Actinomycetes; Actinomycetales.